AUAGGGGAGCCGCAGGGAAACCGAGUCUUAACUGGGCGUUAAGUUGCAGGGUAUAGACCCGAAACCCGGUGAUCUAGCCAUGGGCAGGUUGAAGGUUGGGUAACACUAACUGGAGGACCGAACCGACUAAUGUUGAAAAAUUAGCGGAUGACCUGUGGCUGGGGGUGAAAGGCCAAUCAAACCGGGAGAUAGCUGGUUCUCCCCGAAAGCUAUUUAGGUAGCGCCUCGUGAACUCAUCUCCGGGGGUAGAGCACUGUUUCGGCUAGGGGGCCAUCCCGGCUUACCAACCCGAUGCAAACUGCGAAUACCGGAGAAUGUUAUCACGGGAGACACACGGCGGGUGCUAACGUCCGUCGUGAAGAGGGAAACAACCCAGACCGCCAGCUAAGGUCCCAAAGUCAUGGUUAAGUGGGAAACGAUGUGGGAAGGCCCAGACAGCCAGGAUGUUGGCUUAGAAGCAGCCAUCAUUUAAAGAAAGCGUAAUAGCUCACUGGUCGAGUCGGCCUGCGCGGAAGAUGUAACGGGGCUAAACCAUGCACCGAAGCUGCGGCAGCGACGCUUAUGCGUUGUUGGGUAGGGGAGCGUUCUGUAAGCCGUCGAAGGUGUGCUGUGAGGCAUGCUGGAGGUAUCAGAAGUGCGAAUGCUGACAUAAGUAACGAUAAACAAGGUGAAAAACCUUGUCGCCGGAAGACCAAGGGUUCCUGUUCAACGUUAAUCGGAGCAGGGUGAGUCGACCCCUAAGGCGAGGCCGAAAGGCGUAGUCGAUGGGAAACAGGUUAAUAUUCCUGUACUUGGUGUUACUGCGAAGGGGGGACGGAGAAGGCUAUAUCGGCCGGGCGACGGUUGUCCCGGUUUAAGCGUGUAGGUGUGUGUUCCAGGCAAAUCCGGUUCACUUUACACUGAGGCGUGACGACGAGGCACUACGGUGCUGAAGUGAUAAAUGCCCUGCUUCCAGGAAAAGCCUCUAAGCAUCAGGUAACACAAAAUCGUACCCCAAACCGACACAGGUGGUCAGGUAGAGAAUACCAAGGCGCUUGAGAGAACUCGGGUGAAGGAACUAGGCAAAAUGGUGCCGUAACUUCGGGAGAAGGCACGCUGGCGCGUAGGUGAAGGGACUUGCUCCCGGAGCUGAAGCCAGUCGAAGAUACCAGCUGGCUGCAACUGUUUAUUAAAAACACAGCACUGUGCAAACACGAAAGUGGACGUAUACGGUGUGACGCCUGCCCGGUGCCGGAAGGUUAAUUGAUGGGGUUAUCCGCAAGGAGAAGCUCUUGAUCGAAGCCCCGGUAAACGGCGGCCGUAACUAUAACGGUCCUAAGGUAGCGAAAUUCCUUGUCGGGUAAGUUCCGACCUGCACGAAUGGCGUAAUGAUGGCCAGGCUGUCUCCACCCGAGACUCAGUGAAAUUGAAAUCGCUGUGAAGAUGCAGUGUACCCGCGGCAAGACGGAAAGACCCCGUGAACCUUUACUACAGCUUGACAUUGAACACUGAGCCUUGAUGUGUAGGAUAGGUGGGAGGCUUUGAAGCGUGGACGCCAGUCUGCGUGGAGCCGACCUUGAAAUACCACCCUUUAAUGUUUGGUGUUCUAACGUAGGCCCGUGAUCCGGGCUGCGGACAGUGUCUGGUGGGUAGUUUGACUGGGGCGGUCUCCUCCCAAAGCGUAACGGAGGAGCACGAAGGUUGGCUAAUCCUGGUCGGACAUCAGGAGGUUAGUGCAAUGGCAUAAGCCAGCUUGACUGCGAGAGUGACGGCUCGAGCAGGUGCGAAAGCAGGUCAUAGUGAUCCGGUGGUUCUGAAUGGAAGGGCCAUCGCUCAACGGAUAAAAGGUACUCCGGGGAUAACAGGCUGAUACCGCCCAAGAGUUCAUAUCGACGGCGGUGUUUGGCACCUCGAUGUCGGCUCAUCACAUCCUGGGGCUGAAGUAGGUCCCAAGGGUACGGCUGUUCGCCGUUUAAAGUGGUACGCGAGCUGGGUUUAGAACGUCGUGAGACAGUUCGGUCCCUAUCUGCCGUGGGCGCUGGAGAAUUGAGGGGGGUUGCUCCUAGUACGAGAGGACCGGAGUGAACGCACCGCUGGUGUCCGGGUUGUCACGCCAGUGGCACUGCCCGGUAGCUAAGUGCGGAAAAGAUAAGUGCUGAAAGCAUCUAAGCACGAAACUUGCCCCGAGAUGAGUUCUCCCUGAGCCUUUAAGGCUCCUGAAGGGACGUUGAAGACGACGACGUUGAUAGGCCGGGUGUGUAAGCGCAGCGAUGCGUUGAGCUUACCGGUACUAAUGACCCGUGAGGCUUAACCUUACAACGCCAGAGGCGUUUUG
This 2314-nucleotide ribosomal RNA is filed under the name Pantoea ananatis BRT175. RNAcentral's name for it is "bacterial LSU rRNA". It matches the Rfam family "Bacterial large subunit ribosomal RNA", at positions 657 to 2925 of the family's 2925-position model. Lineage: Bacteria; Pseudomonadati; Pseudomonadota; Gammaproteobacteria; Enterobacterales; Erwiniaceae. The record is from RNAcentral.